Molecule: ribosomal RNA, 373 nt
Filed under: uncultured organism
Description: partial 16S ribosomal RNA
Rfam family: Bacterial small subunit ribosomal RNA
Source: RNAcentral
GUAGGUGGCAAGCGUUGUCCGGAAUUAUUGGGCGUAAAGCGCGCGCAGGGCGGUCCUUUAAGUCUGAUGUGUAAGCCCACGGCUCAACCGUGGAGGGUCAUUGGAAACUGGGGGACUUGAGUACAGAAGAGGAAAGCGGAAUUCCAAGUGUAGCGGUGAAAUGCGUAGAGAUUUGGAGGAACACCAGUGGCGAAGGCGGCUUUCUGGUCUGUAACUGACGCUGAGGCGCGAAAGCGUGGGGAGCAAACAGGAUUAGAUACCCUGGUAGUCCACGCCGUAAACGAUGAGUGCUAAGUGUUAGGGGGUUUCCGCCCCUUAGUGCUGCGGCUAACGCAUUAAGCACUCCGCCUGGGGAGUACGGCCGCAAAGGCUG